RNAcentral lists this long non-coding RNA (608 nucleotides) under Neodiprion lecontei (redheaded pine sawfly). RNAcentral's name for it is "uncharacterized LOC124294744, transcript variant X1". Lineage: Eukaryota; Metazoa; Arthropoda; Insecta; Hymenoptera; Diprionidae. The record is from RNAcentral.
CUUUAUGCGUAAUUACAUUUUUCCUAUACGGGGUUAUAUACAUCACAUGAAUUAUACCGAGACGAAACACGAUACCCGGUGCAUUCAGUGCAGAUACCUAUAGAAAUGUGAGAAUGAAAGAAUAAAAACGUCAGCUCGUCAACGCGGAUGUCACGAUCUGUCAUAGACGAUUUUGCUUUGUUUCUAUGAAUACGGAGGGAUCAUCGCCUCUGGAUUAGCGAAUUUUGUUUUUUAUUUUCAAACACACCGCCAGAUCUGUUUCGGCUAGCUGCGUGUGAAACGUCGGCGAGAUUGAAAAGCGAGACGCGUCAUCGCCUCGAUAGGUCUUUAAAGAACACCUGUUUUGGCGCCGGAUAUCAGAUUAGAUCUUUGUUACUGUCAUGUGUACAGUGCUACGUCCAGAAUCGCCGAUAAAAAUAAAACUCGAAUGAGCUACACACGUUUGUAUAAUUGUAUUUCUGCAACGAUCUAACGUAUAGCUAUACGGUAACUUGUGUUUAUCCAAGUUCCGAAUUGAGUCUCAUACUUAUUGUUAAGGAAAAUAGUCGACUUAUUAUUGUAGAGAAAAAGAUACCGUACAAAAAAAAAAAAAUACAAAAAUAGAAAAA